UGGGGGGGCGUGCUAAUACAUGCAAGUCGAGCGAACAGACGAGGAGCUUGCUCCUUUGACGUUAGCGGCGGACGGGUGAGUAACACGUGGGUAACCUACCUAUAAGACUGGGAUAACUUCGGGAAACCGGAGCUAAUACCGGAUAAUAUUCGAACCGCAUGGUUCGAUAGUGAAAGAUGGCUUUGCUGUCACUUAUAGAUGGACCUGCGCCGUAUUAGCUAGUUGGUAAGGUAACGGCUUACCAAGGCAACGAUACGUAGCCGACCUGAGAGGGUGAUCGGCCACACUGGAACUGAGACACGGUCCAGACUCCUACGGGAGGCAGCAGUAGGGAAUCUUCCGCAAUGGGCGAAAGCCUGACGGAGCAACGCCGCGUGAGUGAUGAAGGUCUUCGGAUCGUAAAACUCUGUUAUUAGGGAAGAACAAACGUGUAAGUAACUGUGCACGUCUUGACGGUACCUGAUCAGAAAGCCACGGCUAACUACGUGCCAGCAGCCGCGGUAAUACGUAUGGUGGCAAGCGUUAUCCGGAUAUUAUUGGGCGUAAAGCGCGCGUAGGCGGUUUUUUAAGUCUGAUGUGAAAGCCCACGGCUCAACCGUGGAGGGUCAUUGGAAACUGGAAACACUUGAGUGCAGAAGAGGAAGAGUGGAAUUCCAUGUGUAGCGGUGAAAUGCGCAGAGAUAUGGAGGAACACCAGUGGCGAAGGCGACUUUCUGGUCUGUAACUGACGCUGAUGUGCGAAAGCGUGGGGAUCAAACAGGAUUAGAUACCCUGGUAGUCCACGCCGUAAACGAUGAGUGCUAAGUGUUAGGGGGUUUCCGCCCCUUAGUGCUGCAGCUAACGCAUUAAACUCUGCCCCUGGAGAGUAACACCACAAGGUUGAAACUCAAGAGAAUUGACGGGGCCCCGCACGAGCGGUAGCACAUGGGGUAUAAUUAAAAACAACGAGAAGAACCUUCACAUAUUUUCACCUCCUUUGCCCUUUAGAGAGAUAGAAUUUUCCCUUUCGGGGGACAAAGUCACAGGGGGCACAGGGGUGUUCUCAUCUCGUGUUGAGAGAUUUGGGUUUAAGUCCCACAAAGAGCGCACCCUUUAAGUUUAGUCCCCCUCAUUAAGGGGCGCACUAAAAGUAGACCCCCGGUGACUGCGAAACCGGGAGAAGGGGGGGAAGAUGUCAUAUCCUCAUGCCCUUUAAGAUUUGGGCCACACACGUGAUACAAUGCACAAUAAAAAGGGGAUAAAAACCGAGAUGUCAAGAAAAUCCCAAAAAGUUGUUCACAGUUCGUAGUGUUGUGCAAAUCUAGAAUACAUGGAGGGGGUAUCGCUUGUUAUUGUAGAUGCGCGUGAUGGUGAGAAUAUUUUCCCGUGUCGUGUACACCCCCCCUCUCACCCCAAGAGAGUGUGUCACCCGAGACGGCGGGGGAGUACCCAUAUGGAGCUAGCCGUCGAAGGUGACAAAAU
This 1461-nucleotide ribosomal RNA is filed under the name Staphylococcus sp. RNAcentral describes it as "bacterial SSU rRNA". It matches the Rfam family "Bacterial small subunit ribosomal RNA". The record is from RNAcentral. Lineage: Bacteria; Bacillati; Bacillota; Bacilli; Caryophanales; Staphylococcaceae.